UACGUAGGGUGCGAGCGUUGUCCGGAAUUACUGGGCGUAAAGGGCGCGUAGGCGGCGUGGUAAGUCACUUGUGAAAUCUCUGAGCUUAACUCAGAACGGCCAAGUGAUACUGCUGUGCUAGAGUGCAGAAGGGGCAAUCGGAAUUCUUGGUGUAGCGGUGAAAUGCGUAGAUAUCAAGAGGAACACCUGAGGUGAAGACGGGUUGCUGGGCUGACACUGACGCUGAGGCGCGAAAGCCAGGGGAGCAAACGGG
Molecule: ribosomal RNA, 253 nt
Filed under: uncultured bacterium
Lineage: Bacteria
Description: partial 16S ribosomal RNA
Rfam family: Bacterial small subunit ribosomal RNA
Source: RNAcentral